AAAUUGAAGAGUUUGAUCAUGGCUCAGAUUGAACGCUGGCGGCAGGCCUAACACAUGCAAGUCGAACGGUAACAGGAAGCAGCUUGCUGCUUUGCUGACGAGUGGCGGACGGGUGAGUAAUGUCUGGGAAACUGCCUGAUGGAGGGGGAUAACUACUGGAAACGGUGGCUAAUACCGCAUAACGUCGCAAGACCAAAGAGGGGGACCUUCGGGCCUCUUGCCAUCAGAUGUGCCCAGAUGGGAUUAGCUUGUUGGUGAGGUAACGGCUCACCAAGGCGACGAUCCCUAGCUGGUCUGAGAGGAUGACCAGCCACACUGGAACUGAGACACGGUCCAGACUCCUACGGGAGGCAGCAGUGGGGAAUAUUGCACAAUGGGCGCAAGCCUGAUGCAGCCAUGCCGCGUGUAUGAAGAAGGCCUUCGGGUUGUAAAGUACUUUCAGCGGGGAGGAAGGUGUUGUGGUUAAUAACCGCAGCAAUUGACGUUACCCGCAGAAGAAGCACCGGCUAACUCCGUGCCAGCAGCCGCGGUAAUACGGAGGGUGCAAGCGUUAAUCGGAAUUACUGGGCGUAAAGCGCACGCAGGCGGUCUGUCAAGUCGGAUGUGAAAUCCCCGGGCUCAACCUGGGAACUGCAUUCGAAACUGGCAGGCUUGAGUCUUGUAGAGGGGGGUAGAAUUCCAGGUGUAGCGGUGAAAUGCGUAGAGAUCUGGAGGAAUACCGGUGGCGAAGGCGGCCCCCUGGACAAAGACUGACGCUCAGGUGCGAAAGCGUGGGGAGCAAACAGGAUUAGAUACCCUGGUAGUCCACGCCGUAAACGAUGUCUACUUGGAGGUUGUGCCCUUGAGGCGUGGCUUCCGGAGCUAACGCGUUAAGUAGACCGCCUGGGGAGUACGGCCGCAAGGUUAAAACUCAAAUGAAUUGACGGGGGCCCGCACAAGCGGUGGAGCAUGUGGUUUAAUUCGAUGCAACGCGAAGAACCUUACCUGGUCUUGACAUCCACGGAAGAAUUCAGAGAUGGAUUUGUGCCUUCGGGAACCGUGAGACAGGUGCUGCAUGGCUGUCGUCAGCUCGUGUUGUGAAAUGUUGGGUUAAGUCCCGCAACGAGCGCAACCCUUAUCCUUUGUUGCCAGCGAUUCGGUCGGGAACUCAAAGGAGACUGCCAGUGAUAAACUGGAGGAAGGUGGGGAUGACGUCAAGUCAUCAUGGCCCUUACGACCAGGGCUACACACGUGCUACAAUGGCGCAUACAAAGAGAAGCGACCUCGCGAGAGCAAGCGGACCUCAUAAAGUGCGUCGUAGUCCGGAUUGGAGUCUGCAACUCGACUCCAUGAAGUCGGAAUCGCUAGUAAUCGUGGAUCAGAAUGCCACGGUGAAUACGUUCCCGGGCCUUGUACACACCGCCCGUCACACCAUGGGAGUGGGUUGCAAAAGAAGUAGGUAGCUUAACCUUCGGGAGGGCGCUUACCACUUUGUGAUUCAUGACUGGGGUGAAGUCGUAACAAGGUAACCGUAGGGGAACCUGCGGUUGGAUCACCUCCUUACCUGAAAGAAGC
This 1554-nucleotide ribosomal RNA is filed under the name Salmonella enterica. RNAcentral's name for it is "bacterial SSU rRNA". It matches the Rfam family "Bacterial small subunit ribosomal RNA". RNAcentral also lists the same sequence under 1 other name. Lineage: Bacteria; Pseudomonadati; Pseudomonadota; Gammaproteobacteria; Enterobacterales; Enterobacteriaceae. The record is from RNAcentral.